GGCAAAGGCUGUGGAGUAGAUAGUAACAAGGUGGUCUACAAACCAGGGCAAGCCCUUCUCUAGACGUCAACCCUGUCUGUACAUCUUGAAUUGCUCACCUCAAGACUGUGAAGAAAUAAACACCCACUGUAUAAGCCUCUCAGCCUGUGGCAUUUUGGGGUGUCAGCCUGAGUUGACUAAGACACCUGGAAAUGCUCAAAUAGAAGGCUCAGAAGUUAGUGUGGAGGGCAUCGAGAUGUUGUCUAAUGGCUGGCUAAUCUUCUUGGACUUCAGAAUCUUUCAUUUCUAAAAGGAGCUCUAUAAACAACGUUCAGCCUGGCAAAGCAAAAAGAGUGUCUUCUUUGAUCCUUGGUUAAGAUUCUGAAGUGGGUAAGAGUCUGCCAUGACAGAGGACUUCAUUGCAGGAAGGCCCAGGCUGUCAUCAUGGCAGUAGCUAGGCAUUCAAAAGGAACCCCAUGCUGGUUAGUUUUGAUUGUCAACCCAAUGCAACUGAGUACCAUCUGGCAAGAGUCUUAAGAGUUAUGGCCAAUGGACAUAUCAGUAGGUGAUUGUCUAGAUUGUUAAUUGAUAUAGGAAGAUCCAGCUCACUGUAGGCAAUUCCACCAUCUGGCAAGAGUCUUAAGAGUUAAGGCCAAUGGACAUAUCAGUAGGUGAUAGUCUAGAUUGUUAAUUGAUAUAGGAAGAUCCAGCUCACUGUAGGCAAUUCAUUCUCUAGGCAGGAGGUCCAGAACUGUCUAAGAGGAGAAAUAGAGCUGACAGCAAGCAAGGAUCCAUGUGUUUAUUCUCUUUGUCCCUUGAUUGUGGAUGUGGUACUUUGAGUUUUUGCCUUGAUGGCCCCAAAAUAAUGGACUGUAACCUUGGGUUGUAAGUUAAACAAACUCUUUCUUUCACAGGUUGACUUUGGUAAGGGUAUUUUUAUUUAUUUAUUUAUUUAUUUAUUUAUUUAUUUAUUUAUUUAUUUAUUUAUUUAUUUAUUUAUUUAUUUAUUUAUUUAUUUAUUUAUUUAUUUAUUUAUUUAUUUAUUUAUUUAUUUAUUUAUUUAUUUAUUUAUUUAUUUAUUUAUUUAUUUAUUUAUUUAUUUAUUUAUUUAUUUAUUUAUUUUUAAAGGUUUUCUUUAUUUAUUAUGUAUACAACAUUCUGCUUCCAUGUAUAUCUGCACACCAGAAGAGGGCACCAGAUCUCAUAACGGAUGGUUGUGAGCCACCAUGUGGUUGCCGAGAAUUGAACUCAGGACCUCUGGAAGAACAGUCAGUGCUCUUAACUGCUGAGCCAUCUCUCUGGCCCCGAGCUGCCAUGGCAUUACAGAAGGAAGACAGAAGGAAAGAGCCCCUGAUCUGAGAUAACAAGUGACCCCAUAAAACUGAAGGGAAAUCAGCUGAACCUACCACAAAGCACGGGGAACAGCCCUAAAUCCUGCUCAGUUCUGAAUACAAAGGCUCCAGUCUACUGUUUUGAAAGAAUCCCACAGCCAAUAAACAAAAAGUGAUUUUCUAUUGAUCUACGGGUCUCCCUUUGUGUUAACAAAGACCAUGG
RNAcentral lists this long non-coding RNA (1533 nucleotides) under Cricetulus griseus (Chinese hamster). RNAcentral describes it as "lncRNA (ENSCGRG00000026607.1)". Lineage: Eukaryota; Metazoa; Chordata; Mammalia; Rodentia; Cricetidae. The record is from RNAcentral.